AACGAACGCUGGCGGCAGGCUUAACACAUGCAAGUCGAGCGCAUCCUUCGGGGUGAGCGGCGGACGGGUGAGUAACGCGUGGGAACGUGCCCUCUUCUACGGAAUAGCCUCGGGAAACUGAGAGUAAUGCCGUAUACGCCCGCAAGGGGAAAGAUUUAUCGGAGGAGGAUCGGCCCGCGUUGGAUUAGGUAGUUGGUGGGGUAACGGCCUACCAAGCCGACGAUCCAUAGCUGGUUUGAGAGGAUGAUCAGCCACACUGGGACUGAGACACGGCCCAGACUCCUACGGGAGGCAGCAGUGGGGAAUCUUGGACAAUGGGGGCAACCCUGAUCCAGCCAUGCUGCGUGAUCGAUGAAGGCCUUAGGGUUGUAAAGAUCUUUCAGCUGGGAAGAUAAUGACGGUACCAGCAGAAGAAGCCCCGGCUAACUCCGUG
This 433-nucleotide ribosomal RNA is filed under the name uncultured bacterium. RNAcentral's name for it is "partial 16S ribosomal RNA". It matches the Rfam family "Bacterial small subunit ribosomal RNA", at positions 29 to 507 of the family's 1533-position model. The record is from RNAcentral.